Molecule: transfer RNA, 90 nt
Filed under: Fibrobacterota bacterium
Lineage: Bacteria; Pseudomonadati; Fibrobacterota
Description: tRNA-Ser
Rfam family: tRNA
About the family: Transfer RNA (tRNA) molecules are approximately 80 nucleotides in length.
Source: RNAcentral
AGAGAGUUGUCCGAGCGGUUUAAGGUACAUGCUUGGAAAGCAUGUUUGCCCUAACAGGCAACGGGGGUUCGAAUCCCCCACUCUCUGCCA